CAGCAGUAGGGAUCUUCCGCAAUGGACGAAAGUCUGACGGAGCAACGCCGCGUGAGUGAUGAAGGCUUUCGGGUCGUAAAACUCUGUUGUUAGGGAAGAACAAGUGCUAGUUGAAUAAGCUGGCACCUUGACGGUACCUAACCAGAAAGCCACGGCUAACUACGUGCCAGCAGCCGCGGUAAUACGUAGGUGGCAAGCGUUAUCCGGAAUUAUUGGGCGUAAAGCGCGCGCAGGUGGUUUCUUAAGUCUGAUGUGAAAGCCCACGGCUCAACCGUGGAGGGUCAUUGGAAACUGGGAGACUUGAGUGCAGAAGAGGAAAGUGGAAUUCCAUGUGUAGCGGUGAAAUGCGUAGAGAUAUGGAGGAACACCAGUGGCGAAGGCGACUUUCUGGUCUGUAACUGACACUGAGGCGCGAAAGCGUGGGGAGCAAACAGGAUUAGAUACCCUGGUAGUCCACGCCGUAAACGAUGAGUGCUAAGUGUUAGAGGGUUUCCGCCCUUUAGUGCUGAAGUUAACGCAUUAAGCACUCCGCCUGGGGAGUACGGCCGCAAGGCUGAAACUCAAAGGAAUUGACGGGGCCCCC
Molecule: ribosomal RNA, 583 nt
Filed under: Bacillus sp. (in: firmicutes)
Lineage: Bacteria; Bacillati; Bacillota; Bacilli; Caryophanales; Bacillaceae
Description: bacterial SSU rRNA
Rfam family: Bacterial small subunit ribosomal RNA
Source: RNAcentral